GAUGAACGCUGGCGGCGUGCCUAAUACAUGCAAGUCGAGCGAACAGACGAGGAGCUUGCUCCUCUGACGUUAGCGGCGGACGGGUGAGUAACACGUGGAUAACCUACCUAUAAGACUGGGAUAACUUCGGGAAACCGGAGCUAAUACCGGAUAAUAUAUUGAACCGCAUGGUUCAAUAGUGAAAGACGGUUUUGCUGUCACUUAUAGAUGGAUCCGCGCCGCAUUAGCUAGUUGGUAAGGUAACGGCUUACCAAGGCAACGAUGCGUAGCCGACCUGAGAGGGGGAGCGGACACACUGGAAGUGAGACACGGGCCAGACUCGGACGGGAGGCAGCAGUAGGGAAUCUUGCGCAAUGGGCGAAAGCCUGACGGAGCAACGCCGCGUGAGUGAUGAAGGUCUUCGGAUCGGAAAACUCUGUGAUGAGGGAAGAACAAAUGGGUAAGUAACUAUGCACGUCUGGACGGUACCUAAUCAGAAAGCCACGGCUAACUACGUG
RNAcentral lists this ribosomal RNA (497 nucleotides) under uncultured bacterium. RNAcentral's name for it is "partial 16S ribosomal RNA". It matches the Rfam family "Bacterial small subunit ribosomal RNA", at positions 28 to 507 of the family's 1533-position model. The record is from RNAcentral.